AGCAGCCGCGGUAAUUCCAGCUCCAAUAGCGUAUAUUAAAGUUGUUGCAGUUAAAAAGCUCGUAGUUGAAUUUCGGGAUUAGUACGUUGGUCGUGCCUUAGGUACGUACUGGUGUUACUGGUUCCUACCUUCUGACGAACCAUCAUGUCAUUAAUUUGGUGUGGCGGGGAAUCAGGACUGUUACUUUGAAAAAAUUAGAGUGUUUAAAGCAGGCUCGCGCUUGAAUACAUUAGCAUGGAAUAAUGAAAUAGGACGUUGACCCUAUUUUGUUGGUUUCUAGGAUUGACGUAAUGAUUAAUAGGGAUAGUUGGGGGCAUUAGUAUUCAAUUGUCAGAGGUGAAAUUCUUGGAUUUAUUGAAGACUAACUACUGCGAAAGCAUUUGCCAAGGAUGUUUUCAUUAAUCAAGAACGAAAGUUAGGGGAUCGAAGACGAUCAGAUACCGUCGUAGUCUUAACCAUAAACUAUGCCGACUAGGGAUCGGAUGAUGUUAUUUUUAAU
RNAcentral lists this ribosomal RNA (499 nucleotides) under uncultured Glomus. Its description in RNAcentral is "SSU rRNA". It matches the Rfam family "Eukaryotic small subunit ribosomal RNA", at positions 569 to 1073 of the family's 1831-position model. The record is from RNAcentral. Lineage: Eukaryota; Fungi; Glomeromycota; Glomeromycetes; Glomerales; Glomeraceae.